AGUGAACGCUGGCGGUAGGCCUAACACAUGCAAGUCGAACGGCAGCACAGUAAGAGCUUGCUCUUACGGGUGGCGAGUGGCGGACGGGUGAGGAAUACAUCGGAAUCUACUUUUUCGUGGGGGAUAACGUAGGGAAACUUACGCUAAUACCGCAUACGACCUACGGGUGAAAGCAGGGGAUCUUCGGACCUUGCGCGAUUGAAUGAGCCGAUGUCGGAUUAGCUAGUUGGCGGGGUAAAGGCCCACCAAGGCGACGAUCCGUAGCUGGUCUGAGAGGAUGAUCAGCCACACUGGAACUGAGACACGGUCCAGACUCCUACGGGAGGCAGAAGUGGGGAAUAUUGGACAAUGGGCGCAAGCCUGAUCCAGACAUACCGCGUGAGUGAAGAAGGACUUCGGGUUGUAAAGCCCUUUUGUUGGGAAAGAAAAGCAGCAGGUUAAUACCCCGCUGUUCUGACGGUACCCAAAGAAUAAGCACCGGCUAACUUCGUG
RNAcentral lists this ribosomal RNA (492 nucleotides) under uncultured bacterium. Its description in RNAcentral is "partial 16S ribosomal RNA". It matches the Rfam family "Bacterial small subunit ribosomal RNA", at positions 29 to 507 of the family's 1533-position model. The record is from RNAcentral.